This 383-nucleotide ribosomal RNA is filed under the name uncultured eukaryote. Its description in RNAcentral is "partial 18S ribosomal RNA". It matches the Rfam family "Eukaryotic small subunit ribosomal RNA", at positions 592 to 976 of the family's 1831-position model. The record is from RNAcentral.
CAAUAGCGUAUAUUAAAGUUGUUGCGGUUAAAAAGCUCGUAGUUGGAUCUCGGCAGGCAGGGGGUGGUUCGCUCUUAGCGCUACUGCCCCAUUUGCCUGUGUGAUUGGCGGAGGUUUCGGGGUGCUCUUCGUUGAGUGACCCGGGGCGCCGUCAGGUUUACUUUGAAAAAAUUAGAGUGCUCAAAGCAGGCUUUUCACGCUUGAAUAUUCGUGCAUGGAAUAAUGGAAUAGGAACUCGUUUCUAUUUUGUUGGUUUUCGGAAAUCGAGUUAAUGAUUAAUAGGGACAAUUGGGGGCAUUAGUAUUCAGACGACAGAGGUGAAAUUCUUGGACCGUCUGAAGACUAACUACUGCGAAAGCAUUUGCCAAGAAUGUUUUCAUUAA